UGAGCGGCGGACGGGUUAGUAACGCGUGGGAACAUACCCUUUGGUACGGAAUAGCCUCUGGAAACGGAGAGUAAUACCGUAUGAGCCCUUCGGGGGAAAGAUUUAUCGCCAAAGGAUUGGCCCGCGUUAGAUUAGGUAGUUGGUGGGGUAAUGGCCUACCAAGCCUACGAUCUAUAGCUGGUUUUAGAGGAUGAUCAGCAACACUGGGACUGAGACACGGCCCAGACUCCUACGGGAGGCAGCAGUGGGGAAUCUUGGACAAUGGGGGCAACCCUGAUCCAGCCAUGCCGCGUGAGUGAUGAAGGCCUUAGGGUCGUAAAGCUCUUUCGCCUGUGAAGAUAAUGACGGUAGCAGGUAAAGAAACCCCGGCUAACUCCGUGCCAGCAGCCGCGGUAAUACGGAGGGGGUUAGCGUUGUUCGGAAUUACUGGGCGUAAAGCGCACGUAGGCGGACUGGAAAGUUGGGGGUGAAAUCCCAGGGCUCAACCCUGGAACUGCCUCCAAAACUAUCAG
This 512-nucleotide ribosomal RNA is filed under the name Ruegeria atlantica. Its description in RNAcentral is "bacterial SSU rRNA". It matches the Rfam family "Bacterial small subunit ribosomal RNA", at positions 92 to 639 of the family's 1533-position model. The record is from RNAcentral. Lineage: Bacteria; Pseudomonadati; Pseudomonadota; Alphaproteobacteria; Rhodobacterales; Roseobacteraceae.